UACGUAGGGUGCAAGCGUUGUCCGGAAUUAUUGGGCGUAAAGAGCUCGUAGGCGGUUUGUCGCGUCGAAUGUGAAAACCCGGGGCUCAACCCCGGGCCUGCAGCCGAUACGGGCAGACUAGAGUUCGGCAGGGGAGACUGGAAUUCCUGGUGUAGCGGUGAAAUGCGCAGAUAUCAGGAGGAACACCGGUGGCGAAGGCGGGUCUCUGGGCCGAUACUGACGCUGAGGAGCGAAAGCGUGGGGAGCGAACAGG
This 253-nucleotide ribosomal RNA is filed under the name uncultured bacterium. RNAcentral describes it as "partial 16S ribosomal RNA". It matches the Rfam family "Bacterial small subunit ribosomal RNA", at positions 524 to 776 of the family's 1533-position model. The record is from RNAcentral.